AGGACGAACGCUGGCGGCGUGCUUAACACAUGCAAGUCGAGCGGAAAGGCCCUUCGGGGUACUCGAGCGGCGAACGGGUGAGUAACACGUGAGUAAUCUGCCCCUAGCUCUGGGAUAGCUCCGGGAAACCGGGAUUAAUACCGGAUACGACCACCUUAGACAUCUUUUGUGGUGGAAAGAAUUUCGGCUAGGGAUGAGCUCGCGGCCUAUCAGCUUGUUGGUGGGGUAAUGGCCUACCAAGGCGACGACGGGUAGCCGGCCUGAGAGGGCGACCGGCCACACUGGGACUGAGACACGGCCCAGACUCCUACGGGAGGCAGCAGUGGGAAUAUUGCGCAAUGGGCGAAAGCCUGACGCAGCGACGCCGCGUGGGGGAUGAGUGCCUUCGGGUUGUAAACCCCUUUCGGCAGGGACGAAGCGAUUGUGACGGUACCUGCAGAAGAAGCUCCGGCUAACUACGCGCCAGCAGCCGC
RNAcentral lists this ribosomal RNA (473 nucleotides) under uncultured bacterium. Its description in RNAcentral is "SSU rRNA". It matches the Rfam family "Bacterial small subunit ribosomal RNA", at positions 26 to 518 of the family's 1533-position model. The record is from RNAcentral.